GGUUAAGUGACUAAGCGUACACGGUGGAUGCCUGGGCAGUCAGAGGCGAUGAAGGACGUACUAACUUGCGAUAAGCGCAGAUAAGGCAGUAAGAGCCGUUUGAGUCUGCGAUUUCCGAAUGGGGAAACCCAACUGCAUAAGCAGUUACUGUUAACUGAAUACAUAGGUUAACAGAGCAAACCGGGGGAACUGAAACAUCUAAGUACCCCGAGGAGAAGAAAUCAACCGAGAUUCCGGUAGUAGCGGCGAGCGAACCUGGAUUAGCCCUUAAGCACUCGGUGAAGUAGGUGAACAAGCUGGAAAGCUUGGCGAUACAGGGUGAUAGCCCCGUAACCGACGCUUCAUCGAGCGUGAAAUCGAGUAGGGCGGGACACGUGAUAUCCUGUCUGAAUAUGGGGGGACCAUCCUCCAAGGCUAAAUACUCCUGACUGACCGAUAGUGAACCAGUACCGUGAGGGAAAGGCGAAAAGAACCCCUGUGAGGGGAGUGAAAUAGAACCUGAAACCGUGUACGUACAAGCAGUAGGAGCACCUUCGUGGUGUGACUGCGUACCUUUUGUAUAAUGGGUCAGCGACUUAUAUUCAGUGGCAAGGUUAACCGUAUAGGGGAGCCGUAGCGAAAGCGAGUCUUAACUGGGCGCUCAGUCUCUGGAUAUAGACCCGAAACCGGGUGAUCUAGCCAUGGGCAGGUUGAAGGUUGAGUAACAUCAACUGGAGGACCGAACCGACUAAUGUUGAAAAAUUAGCGGAUGACUUGUGGCUAGGGGUGAAAGGCCAAUCAAACUCGGAGAUAGCUGGUUCUCCCCGAAAGCUAUUUAGGUAGCGCCUCGGACGAAUACUACUGGGGGUAGAGCACUGUUAAGGCUAGGGGGUCAUCCCGACUUACCAACCCUUUGCAAACUCCGAAUACCAGUAAGUACUAUCCGGGAGACACACGGCGGGUGCUAACGUCCGUCGUGGAGAGGGAAACAACCCAGACCGCCAGCUAAGGUCCCAAAGUAUUGCUAAGUGGGAAACGAUGUGGGAAGGCUCAGACAGCUAGGAUGUUGGCUUAGAAGCAGCCAUCAUUUAAAGAAAGCGUAAUAGCUCACUAGUCGAGUCGGCCUGCGCGGAAGAUGUAACGGGGCUAAGCAAUACACCGAAGCUGCGGCAAUAUCUUUUAGAUAUUGGGUAGGGGAGCGUUCUGUAAGCCGUUGAAGGUGGAUCGUAAGGUUUGCUGGAGGUAUCAGAAGUGCGAAUGCUGACAUGAGUAACGACAAAGGGGGUGAAAAACCUCCUCGCCGGAAGACCAAGGGUUCCUGUCCAACGUUAAUCGGGGCAGGGUGAGUCGACCCCUAAGGUGAGGCCGAAAGGCGUAAUCGAUGGGAAACGGGUUAAUAUUCCCGUACUUCUGACUAUUGCGAUGGGGGGACGGAGAAGGCUAGGUGGGCCAGGCGACGGUUGUCCUGGUUCAAGUGCGUAGGCUUGAGAGUUAGGUAAAUCCGGCUCUCUCUAAGGCUGAGACACGACGUCGAGCUGCUACGGCAGUGAAGUCAUUGAUGCCAUGCUUCCAGGAAA
RNAcentral lists this ribosomal RNA (1556 nucleotides) under Vibrio cholerae. RNAcentral describes it as "partial 23S ribosomal RNA". It matches the Rfam family "Bacterial large subunit ribosomal RNA", at positions 1 to 1615 of the family's 2925-position model. The record is from RNAcentral. Lineage: Bacteria; Pseudomonadati; Pseudomonadota; Gammaproteobacteria; Vibrionales; Vibrionaceae.